UACAGAGGUGGCAAGCGUUGUUCGGAAUUACUGGGCGUAAAGGGCGCGUAGGCGGCCUCCUAAGUCAGACGUGAAAUCCCCCGGCUUAACCUGGGAACUGCGUCUGAUACUGGGAGGCUAGAGUGCGGGAGAGGGAUGCGGAAUUCCAGGUGUAGCGGUGAAAUGCGUAGAUAUCUGGAGGAACACCGGUGGCGAAGGCGGCAUCCUGGACCGACACUGACGCUGAGGCGCGAAAGCUAGGGUAGCAAACGGG
RNAcentral lists this ribosomal RNA (253 nucleotides) under uncultured bacterium. RNAcentral's name for it is "partial 16S ribosomal RNA". It matches the Rfam family "Bacterial small subunit ribosomal RNA", at positions 524 to 776 of the family's 1533-position model. The record is from RNAcentral.